CGCGGCCGGGUACGUGACCAAGUGCUCCGGCGAGGGCAUCUACUUCGCGGCGAAGAGCGGGCGGAUGGCGGCGGAGGCGAUCGUGGCCGGGUCGGCGAACGGGACGCGCAUGGUGGAGGAGAGCGACCUGCGCAAGUACCUGGCGGAGUUCGACCGCCUCUACUGGCCGACCUACAAGGUGCUCGACAUCCUGCAGAAGGUGUUCUACCGCUCCAACGCGGCGCGCGAGGCCUUCGUGGAGAUGUGCGCCGACGACUACGUCCAGAAAAUGACCUUCGACAGCUACCUCUACAAGCGCGUCGUGCCGGGCAACCCGCUCGACGACAUCAAGCUCGCCGUCAACACCAUCGGCAGCCUCGUCAGGGCCACCGCGCUGCGCAGGGAGAUGGAGAAGGUCACCUUGUGAGCCGCCGGCUGCGACGUCGUCGAGCUGCCGUUCACUUCAGGUGUUCGAGUCGCAGCUCAUCGAUCGGUGUAUUAGUAGAGGUUCGCGGCUGAUCAUGCAAGCGAGUUAAUUUAGGCCAGCGUGCGUAGGCACGGAGAGUUAAAAGACAGAGGGGUGGUGCAGGU
Molecule: long non-coding RNA, 570 nt
Filed under: Setaria italica (foxtail millet)
Lineage: Eukaryota; Viridiplantae; Streptophyta; Magnoliopsida; Poales; Poaceae
Description: long non-coding RNA (SITA_LNC000706)
Source: RNAcentral